UGCAAGUCGAACGGUGUAUUACUUUCGGGUAGUUGAGAGUGGCGAACGGGUGCGUAACGCGUAUGCAACCUACCCUAUACAGGGGGAUAGCCCGGAGAAAUCUGGAUUAAUACCCCAUAGUAUCAUUGAGCUGCAUGGUUUAAUGAUUAAAGAUUCAUCGGUAUAGGAUGGGCAUGCGUCUGAUUAGCUAGUUGGCGGUGUAACGGACCACCAAGGCUACGAUCAGUAGGGGUUCUGAGAGGAAGGUCCCCCACACUGGCACUGAGAUACGGGCCAGACUCCUACGGGAGGCAGCAGUAGGGAAUAUUGGGCAAUGGACGAGAGUCUGACCCAGCCAUGCCGCGUGCAGGAAGACGGCGUUCUGCGUUGUAAACUGCUUUUAUCUGGGAAGAAAAUGCCCCUGCGGGGGAAAUUGCCGGUACCAGAUGAAUAAGCACCGGCUAACUCCGUGCCAGCAGCCGCGGUAAUACGGAGGGUGCAAGCGUUGUCCGGAUUUAUUGGGUUUAAAGGGUGCGUAGGCGGCUAUUUAAGUCAGUGGUGAAAGACUCCGGCUCAACCGGAGCAGUGCCAUUGAUACUGGAUAGCUUGAGUAUUGGAGGGGUACAUGGAAUUGAUGGUGUAGCGGUGAAAUGCAUAGAUACCAUCAGGAACACCGAUAGCGAAGGCAUUGUACUGGCCAAUAACUGACGCUGAUGCACGAAAGCAUGGGUAGCGAACAGGAUUAGAUACCCUGGUAGUCCAUGCCGUAAACGAUGAUUACUCGCUGUUAUG
This 771-nucleotide ribosomal RNA is filed under the name Algoriphagus yeomjeoni. Its description in RNAcentral is "bacterial SSU rRNA". It matches the Rfam family "Bacterial small subunit ribosomal RNA", at positions 56 to 827 of the family's 1533-position model. The record is from RNAcentral. Lineage: Bacteria; Pseudomonadati; Bacteroidota; Cytophagia; Cytophagales; Cyclobacteriaceae.